CCUACGGGAUGCAGCAGUGGGGAAUAUUGGGCAAUGGGCGCAAGCCUGACCCAGAACCGCCGCGUGAAGGAAGAAGGCUUUCGGGUUGUAAACUUCUUUUGUCAGGGACGAAGCAAGUGACGGUACCGGACGAAUAAGCCACGGCGAACGACGUGCCAGCAGCCGCGGGAAUACGUAGGUGGCAAGCGUUAUCCGGAGUUACUGGGGGUAAAGGGCGUGUAGGCGGGGAAGCAAGUCAGAUGUGAAAACCACGGGCUCAACCUGUGGCCUGCAUUUGAAACUGUUUUUCUUGAGUGCUGGAGAGGCAAUCGGAAUUCCGUGUGUAGCGGUGAAAUGCGUAGAUAUACGGAGGAACACCAGUGGCGAAGGCGGAUUGCUGGACAGUAACUGACGCUGAGGCGCGAAAGCGUGGGGAGCAAACAGGAUUAGAUACCCGGGUAGUC
This 443-nucleotide ribosomal RNA is filed under the name uncultured bacterium. RNAcentral's name for it is "partial 16S ribosomal RNA". It matches the Rfam family "Bacterial small subunit ribosomal RNA", at positions 338 to 795 of the family's 1533-position model. The record is from RNAcentral.